UCCUACGGGAGGCAGCAGUGGGGAAUCUUAGACAAUGGGCGCAAGCCUGAUCUAGCCAUGCCGCGUGGGUGAUGAAGGCCUUAGGGUCGUAAAGCCCUUUCGCUGGGGAAGAUAAUGACGGUACCCAGUAAAGAAACCCCGGCUAACUCCGUGCCAGCAGCCGCGGUA
RNAcentral lists this ribosomal RNA (168 nucleotides) under uncultured Loktanella sp. RNAcentral describes it as "partial 16S ribosomal RNA". It matches the Rfam family "Bacterial small subunit ribosomal RNA", at positions 337 to 522 of the family's 1533-position model. The record is from RNAcentral. Lineage: Bacteria; Pseudomonadati; Pseudomonadota; Alphaproteobacteria; Rhodobacterales; Roseobacteraceae.